CCUACGGGUGGCUGCAGUGGGGAAUAUUGGACAAUGGGCGAAAGCCUGAUCCAGCCAUGCCGCGUGUGUGAAGAAGGCCUUCGGGUUGUAAAGCACUUUCAGUGGGGAAGAAAGCCUUGGGGCUAAUACCCUCGAGGAAGGACAUCACCCACAGAAGAAGCACCGGCUAACUCCGUGCCAGCAGCCGCGGUAAUACGGAGGGUGCGAGCGUUAAUCGGAAUUACUGGGCGUAAAGCGCGCGUAGGCGGUCUGAUAAGCCGGUUGUGAAAGCCCCGGGCUCAACCUGGGAACGGCAUCCGGAACUGUCAGGCUAGAGUGCAGGAGAGGAAGGUAGAAUUCCCGGUGUAGCGGUGAAAUGCGUAGAGAUCGGGAGGAAUACCAGUGGCGAAGGCGGCCUUCUGGACUGACACUGACGCUGAGGUGCGAAAGCGUGGGUAGCAAACAGGAUUAGAUACCGCGGUAGUC
RNAcentral lists this ribosomal RNA (465 nucleotides) under Vreelandella stevensii. RNAcentral describes it as "partial 16S ribosomal RNA". It matches the Rfam family "Bacterial small subunit ribosomal RNA", at positions 338 to 795 of the family's 1533-position model. The record is from RNAcentral. Lineage: Bacteria; Pseudomonadati; Pseudomonadota; Gammaproteobacteria; Oceanospirillales; Halomonadaceae.